UUAGGCGUUGUUGGGUAGGGGAGCGUUCUGUAAGCCGUUGAAGGUGGCCUGUGAGGGUUGCUGGAGGUAUCAGAAGUGCGAAUGCUGACAUAAGUAACGAUAAAGCGGGUGAAAAGCCCGCUCGCCGGAAGACCAAGGGUUCCUGUCCAACGUUAAUCGGGGCAGGGUGAGUCGACCCCUAAGGCGAGGCUGAAAAGCGUAGUCGAUGGGAAACAGGUUAAUAUUCCUGUACUUGGUGUUACUGCGAAGGGGGGACGGAGAAGGCUAGGCUAGCCGGGCGACGGUUGUCCCGGUUUAAGCGUGUAGGGGGUGUGACCUGGUAAAUCCGGUUGCAUAUCAACCCUGAGGCGUGAUGACGAUGCACUACGGUGCAGAAGUAGUUGAUGCCCUGCUUCCAGGAAAAGCCUCUAAGCUCUAGGUAACAUU
This 426-nucleotide ribosomal RNA is filed under the name Serratia nevei. RNAcentral describes it as "partial 23S ribosomal RNA". It matches the Rfam family "Bacterial large subunit ribosomal RNA", at positions 1214 to 1638 of the family's 2925-position model. The record is from RNAcentral. Lineage: Bacteria; Pseudomonadati; Pseudomonadota; Gammaproteobacteria; Enterobacterales; Yersiniaceae.